Molecule: non-coding RNA, 1049 nt
Organism: Xyrichtys novacula (pearly razorfish)
Lineage: Eukaryota; Metazoa; Chordata; Actinopteri; Labriformes; Labridae
Source: the annotation of a GenBank genome assembly
CUGUAACGAUGUAAAAACUUUAAAUCAUUACAAGCCAAAGAGAGCGAUCAUUUCUGAAGAUCAAAUCUGAAGAGAACAGCACGAAAAACUUCAGUGGCUCACAAAUUUACAACUUUUGACGGCUUCAUAGAAAAUAAAACCUCACCAGACGAUUAAGGACUCCGAGAAACACCUCUAACCAACACCUGAACAAAGAGGACAACAUCUACGACAUGGAGACCGUAAGAUUUCAUGUAAAUAUUAGCAUACAAACUUGUGUUACUGUCGACACUUUCGUGAUGGUUAUAAGCGAUGCAUCGACAAGGAUUAAAUGUGUGCAUAGAUAUUUACAGUGUUUAUGACUUUAAUGUGACAGGCAUUAUCAAAACUAGAAAAAUUGCAUUUCCUUGCAGAAAAUGCGUGGAAAUGCUAAGUGCUGAAAGCUGAAAAAGCAAUGCUAAACUGCUAAAAAAAAUGGAGGAAGGUUUAAAUGUGAACUUGGUUAAAGAGCUACAGAAAGAAAAGUAGAAGUUGGAUGAAAGUGAAAAUUGCUGAAGUACAAAUAGUAUGAAUGUGCUUCAUAAAUUAAAAUUGUAUUCAUGCAGAAUAAGGCUAGAAAAACUGUCUGAAAUUGCAAAAAAAAUUGGAUAAGGAAGAAAAUUACCUUAAGACACAGAAAAGUAAGAAGCGGCAUAAGUUUAAGUUGAAGUACUAGAAGACGUAUGAUAAUAGGUAGUUGUACUAGUGAUAUUAGUAGUCAUGUAAGCAGUAGAAGUAGUUUUAGAAUAGAAGAAGUAGAAGUCAAAGCAGUAGAGCUCGUGGUAGAAGAGUAGAAGUAAAAAAAAUAUUAAGAGACGCAAGAGCAGUUGAGGUAGAAGUGAAGAUAUAAGUUAAAGUGAUAUAAGUAGUAAUUGUAGUGGUAGAACUGGGAUUGGUCAACUGUAAAAUAUGAUUCAGUACAAGUAGAUUACUAGCCCCACACACUUGUAGCUCUUUGCUGUUCAUUGUUAUUUACAGUUUGUUUUUGUCUCACUGCAGCACUGACGAGGUUUCUCAGAGAAGAGUGCCAC